This 74-nucleotide transfer RNA is filed under the name Rhodovulum strictum. RNAcentral describes it as "tRNA-Cys". It matches the Rfam family "tRNA". Rfam says of the family: Transfer RNA (tRNA) molecules are approximately 80 nucleotides in length. Their secondary structure includes four short double-helical elements and three loops (D, anti-codon, and T loops). The record is from RNAcentral. Lineage: Bacteria; Pseudomonadati; Pseudomonadota; Alphaproteobacteria; Rhodobacterales; Paracoccaceae.
GGCGAGUUGGCGGAGCGGUUACGCAGCGGAUUGCAAAUCCGUGUAGGCCGGUUCGACUCCGGCACUCGCCUCCA